RNAcentral lists this ribosomal RNA (253 nucleotides) under uncultured bacterium. RNAcentral describes it as "partial 16S ribosomal RNA". It matches the Rfam family "Bacterial small subunit ribosomal RNA", at positions 524 to 776 of the family's 1533-position model. The record is from RNAcentral.
UACGUAGGGUGCAAGCGUUGUCCGGAAUUAUUGGGCGUAAAGAGCUCGUAGGUGGCCUGUCGCGUCGGCUGUGAAAACUCGGGGCUCAACUCCGAGCUUGCAGUCGAUACGGGCAGGCUAGAGUUCGGCAGGGGAGACUGGAAUUCCUGGUGUAGCGGUGAAAUGCGCAGAUAUCAGGAGGAACACCGGUGGCGAAGGCGGGUCUCUGGGCCGAUACUGACGCUGAGAAGCGAAAGCGUGGGGAGCGAACAGG